Molecule: ribosomal RNA, 308 nt
Filed under: uncultured bacterium
Lineage: Bacteria
Description: partial 16S ribosomal RNA
Rfam family: Bacterial small subunit ribosomal RNA
Source: RNAcentral
GAGACAGCAGUAGCCGCGGUAAAACGUAGGGUGCAAGCGUUAAUCGGAAUUACUGGGCGUAAAGCGUGCGCAGGCGGUUAUAUAAGACAGAUGUGAAAUCCCCGGGCUCAACCUGGGAACUGCAUUUGUGACUGUAUAGCUAGAGUACGGCAGAGGGGGAUGGAAUUCCGCGUGUAGCAGUGAAAUGCGUAGAUAUGCGGAGGAACACCGAUGGCGAAGGCAAUCCCCUGGGCCUGUACUGACGCUCAUGCACGAAAGCGUGGGGAGCAAACAGGAUUAGAUACCCGGGUAGUCCCUGUCUCUUAUAA